GCCUCAGUGAGAUAUAUAUAUAAAAGAUAAUGAGUGAUCUGAGAGAACCUAUGAGGAUCAAAAGGUAUGCUAACUUUCUUUCAAAAAUAUACAAAAACUCCAAGUGACAGGAUUGAGAAGAAAGGAUCUUUACUCUUAAUCAUAUACUUCCCUGACUAUGGUACACAGUGGAAUUUUUAACACCCUGCAAUUGUAAAGAGAAUGCUUUAAAAUGUUUUACCCCAGAUAUUUUUCUUAACCAUCCUUUUCUCGAGGACGAGUAAAAGCCUAAGUAUGGGGGUAUUUGUUGACGGUUCUUAAGUAUCAAUUUUAAUUAUCAAAUAAACAAGAGAAAGGACCAAUAUGCAACCAUCACCUAGAAUUAGGGUUUGAUCUGACAGAAUUCCACGAGUUUUGUUGCUUAUCUGUUUCUGCAGGGGGUUAUCAGGAAAUAAGGAAGAAAGGCCCACAUGUCGGGAUUACAUAGAGAUAUCAACGCACCGCGCAAUUUUACAUCAUCUAGAAAACUCCAGAAGCCACGAGACCGAAGCGGAGGCGAAGCUGGGCCAGGCCCAGGGCGCCCGCCCUGGUAGCCUGGGCGCCCGCCCCCCUUCUGGAGCCAAUUCAGGACUCCUUCGCUCGGGAUAUUCCACCGACCUAUUGGAUC
This 646-nucleotide long non-coding RNA is filed under the name Sorghum bicolor (sorghum). RNAcentral's name for it is "long non-coding RNA (SBIC_LNC004434)". The record is from RNAcentral. Lineage: Eukaryota; Viridiplantae; Streptophyta; Magnoliopsida; Poales; Poaceae.